Molecule: ribosomal RNA, 433 nt
Filed under: uncultured bacterium
Lineage: Bacteria
Description: partial 16S ribosomal RNA
Rfam family: Bacterial small subunit ribosomal RNA
Source: RNAcentral
AACGAACGCUGGCGGCAUGCCUAACACAUGCAAGUCGAACGAGACCUUUGGAUAUGGUGGCGCACGGGAGAGUAACGCUUGGGAACGGCCCCUGAGGGUCGGAAUAACUCGCAGCAAGGGCUGCUAAUACCGGAAACUGUCUGCGGCCCAAAGGAUUAUCGCCUGUGAAUGGGCCGGCGCUGGAUUGGCUAGUUGAUAGGUUAAAAGCCUCCGAAGGCCACGCUCCAUAGCUGCUCUGGGAGGAUGAUCAGCCACACUGGAACUGAGAAACGUCCCAGACUCCUACGGGAGGCAGCAGGGGGGAAUAUUGGACAAUGGGGAAAAGCCUAAUCAAGCACGGCCGGGUAAGUGUUAAAGGCCUUAGGUUUGUAAGGCUCUUUUACCCGGGAUGAUAAUGACAGUACCGGAGGAAUAAGCUCCGGCUAACUCCGUG